RNAcentral lists this unclassified non-coding RNA (704 nucleotides) under Hevea brasiliensis (rubber tree). The record is from RNAcentral. Lineage: Eukaryota; Viridiplantae; Streptophyta; Magnoliopsida; Malpighiales; Euphorbiaceae.
CACUGCAAGAUCUUAAAGAUAAAGUAGAUGGGUUGCUCUUGGGUACUAUGGUCAAGUUUUUCCACAAGCUUGUUUCCCCCAAGCUUCAAAUCCGUCAAAUAUAUGAGAUCAAACAGCCAUGUUGGAAUUUCACCCCGAAGGCAGUUAUCUUCCAAAUCAAGCUCCUCCAACUGUCCCAUCUUUUGCAUUGACGGAGGAAUCUCUCCUACCAAGUCGUUGUCAUUUAGGAGCAAAGAUGAAAUAACUGACAGGUUACCAAUCUCGGAUGGAAUGCUCACGGAGAACAAAUUAGAAUGCAAAUCCAAACGUUUCAACAUUUUCAAAUGGCAUAAUGAUGACGGAACUGCUCCUGUAAAUCUGUUAUUGCCAAGAGACAAUUCACUCAAAUCAGCGAGGUUUCAGCGAGGUUUCCCACCUCUACAGGGAUUUCUCCUUGGAAGAAGUUGGAUCCCAAUGACAAUUUCUCCAAAUUGGUGAGGUUUCCCAUCUGUACAGGGAUCUCUCCAUGAAAGAAGUUGGACUCCAAUGACACAGUCUUCAAAUUGGUGAGGUUUCCCAUCAGUACAAGAAUCUCUCCAUUAAAGAAGUUGGACUCUAAUGACAAAGUCUUCAAAUUUUUAAGAUCACCUAUUCUGCUACCUGAUAUUGACCAAUCAAUCAAAUUUCUACCCAAAUUAAGUAUCUCCAGAUACAUUAAAGAAAAC